This 640-nucleotide long non-coding RNA is filed under the name Mytilus galloprovincialis (Mediterranean mussel). The record is from RNAcentral. Lineage: Eukaryota; Metazoa; Mollusca; Bivalvia; Mytilida; Mytilidae.
UUUAUUUGAGGUUUCAUAUCACUUUAAUGAAGCAUUAGAUUUUAAAUAAUUUUCUUUUGUUGCAGGUUGCAUUCAGAGUUGUCCUGAGGAAUAUCAAGAUUUUAUCAGGAUGCUUUCCUACAACUCCCCAGUGUGUGCUGCCUUCCCUUAUGAUCAAUUAGACAAUAUAAGAUAUAUCAUUGACAACAAAAAUUUCAGGCAAAAUCUUCAUAUAAUGAAAAGUAUCCAAAGCGCUGUAUGCGUUUUGUUUGAAUUAAUAUGUGCAGUACCUGACCUUCCACAAUUUAUGAGGAACAUACUAAGUGCAGUAGUUGAUAUUACUACUAAAAUUUUAUAAUUGAUGAACAUGAAACAUCAUCUGAAGUCAUACAGAAUGCUCUGGCAUAUUUUCCAAAUUUACCAAAGAUCAGAUGCAGGGGAUUAUAUGUUAUGGACAAGAAAAUGGAUGAAAAAGUUUGUACAAAGAGAGAGUCAUCAUCCUUCUCUCCUUCCUCAGAUUUUUACAGUGUUCUGCGCACAUGGUGUGAUUAAUAUAAAUAAUUAUUUCAGAUUAAACUAUAAAAAAGAUAAAAAGAGUUGUAAAUAACUCAAUAGUAUUAUUAUUAUUAUUACUGGGAAUGUUAGAUAUGUAUGAGCCAGC